UUAAAAAUUGAAUUGUUUAGAUUUUUGAAAUAGGUGUAUUAUUUUAUAUUUGGGAUUGAAAUUAUUUAAUUGCUAUAGGUUAAAGUAUUGUGAGAGGAGUUUGAAAAAAUGAAAAAAGAUUUGUAAAAAAGUUAUAUUUUGUACCUUUUGUAUAAGGGUUUAAUUAUAAAGAGUAAGGAUUUAUAUAUCUCGAAAUGCCUUGAGCUAUCUUUUAGGGGGUGUGUUGUUGUAAAAAUAUGUUUUAUAAAUGGUAGAAAUGAAAUUUUUGGCAAAAGGUUCGAUAUCUAGUUAUUUAGGAAAAACUAUAUGUUUUAUAUAAUUUGUGUAUUUUGAAAGGAUUAUAGAUUUUCUUUUUAGGGAUAAGCUUGAAAAGUUGGUAUAGAAAUUAUAAGUUAUUCUUGAAGGUUUAGAAAUGGCUAAUUUAUUUGUAAUAAAAUAAUUUUCUUUUUUUUGUUUUUAUUUUUUUUUUCUAGUAAAUUAAAGUUAGGAGAAUUCAUAUUAAUAUUAGUAUAAGUUUUGAUUGUUUUUAAUAUUGACUUGAAAAUAAAAAAUAGAGAUUAAAUUAAUAGGAACUAGGCAAGUUUAAUUUUUGAAUGUUUAACAAAAACAUAGUAUUUUGAAGUAGUAAAAUAUAUAACCUGCUCAAUGAUAUUAAAUUGCUGUGGUAUUUUGACUAUACGAAGGUAUUGAAAUAAGGCUUUAAUUGGGUGCUAAGAGAAUGGUUGAACAAAGAUUAACUUUCUUUUUAUUUAUAAUAGAAUUUGAUUUGAAAAUGAAAAAGUUUUUAUAAAAAUUUGGGACAAGAAGACCCUAUGAAUUUUUUUUAUAAUUUUAUUUAUAAUUUUUGAUUAAUGGAGUUAAAUGGAAUUUUAAGUUGGUUGGGGUGAUUUUUAAAGAAUGUUUAUCUUUAAAAGUAGGGACUAGAACCAGGAUUCUUGGUUGAUUGAGUAAAAUACUCUAGGGAUAACAGCGUUAUUAUUUUGGAUAGUUCAUAUAGAUAAAAUAGUUUGCGACCUCGAUGUUGGAUUAAGAUACUUUUUUAAUGUAGUCGUUAAAGGAAGGAGUUUGCUCAACUUUUGAAAUCUUACAUGAUCUGAGUUCAGACCGGCGUGAGCCAGGUUGGUUUCUAUCUAAAUUAUUAUUAAAAUUGCUUUAGUACGAAAGGAAUUAGUGGUUUAAAUUUUUUAGAUUAGUUUAAAAAUAAGGAAAAU
RNAcentral lists this ribosomal RNA (1211 nucleotides) under Alectorobius mimon. RNAcentral describes it as "16S ribosomal RNA". The stretch from base 794 to 1135 matches the Rfam family "Archaeal large subunit ribosomal RNA", at positions 2151 to 2715 of the family's 2987-position model. Lineage: Eukaryota; Metazoa; Arthropoda; Arachnida; Ixodida; Argasidae. The record is from RNAcentral.